AGUAACGGCGAGUGAAGCGGCAACAGCUCAAAUUUGAAAUCUGGCUCUUUCAGAGUCCGAGUUGUAAUUUGCAGAGGGCGCUUUGGCUUUGGCAGCGGUCCAAGUUCCUUGGAACAGGACGUCACAGAGGGUGAGAAUCCCGUACGUGGUCGCUAGCUAUUGCCGUGUAAAGCCCCUUCGACGAGUCGAGUUGUUUGGGAAUGCAGCUCUAAAUGGGAGGUAAAUUUCUUCUAAAGCUAAAUAUUGGCCAGAGACCGAUAGCGCACAAGUAGAGUGAUCGAAAGAUGAAAAGCACUUUGGAAAGAGAGUCAAACAGCACGUGAAAUUGUUGAAAGGGAAGCGCUUGCAGCCAGACUUGCUUGCAGUUGCUCAUCCGGGCUUUUGCCCGGUGCACUCUUCUGUAGGCAGGCCAGCAUCAGUUUGGGCGGUGGGAUAAAGGUCUCUGUCACGUACCUCUCUUCGGGGAGGCCUUAUAGGGGAGACGACAUACCACCAGCCUAGACUGAGGUCCGCGCAUCUGCUAGGAUGCUGGCGUAAUGGCUGUAAGCGGCCCGUCUUGAAACACGGACCAAGGAGUCUAACAUCUAUGCGAGUGUUUGGGUGUCAAGCCCGAGCGCGUAAUGAAAGUGAACGGAGGUGGGAACCCGCAAGGGUGCACCAUCGACCGAUCCUGAAGUUUACGGAAGGAUUUGAGUAAGAGCAUGGCUGUUGGGACCCGAAAGAUGGUGAACUAUGCUUGAAUAGGGUGAAGCCAGAGGAAACUCUGGUGGAGGCUCGCAGCGGUUCUGACGUGCAAAUCGAUCGUCAAAUUUGGCAUAGGGCGAAAGACUAAUCG
RNAcentral lists this ribosomal RNA (835 nucleotides) under Bipolaris sorokiniana. Its description in RNAcentral is "LSU rRNA". It matches the Rfam family "Eukaryotic large subunit ribosomal RNA", at positions 82 to 937 of the family's 3401-position model. The record is from RNAcentral. Lineage: Eukaryota; Fungi; Ascomycota; Dothideomycetes; Pleosporales; Pleosporaceae.